RNAcentral lists this ribosomal RNA (297 nucleotides) under uncultured bacterium. RNAcentral's name for it is "partial 16S ribosomal RNA". It matches the Rfam family "Bacterial small subunit ribosomal RNA", at positions 475 to 776 of the family's 1533-position model. The record is from RNAcentral.
CUAUGCGCCUUGCCAGCCCGCUCAGGUGUGCCAGCAGCGCGGUAAUACGGAGGAUGCGAGCGUUAUCCGGAUUUAUUGGGUUUAAAGGUGCGUAGGUGGUUAAUUAAGUCAGCGGUGAAAGUUUGUGGCUCAACCAUAAAAUUGCCGUUGAAACUGGUUGACUUGAGUAUAUUUGAGGUAGGCGGAAUGCGUGGUGUAGCGGUGAAAUGCAUAGAUAUCACGCAGAACUCCGAUUGCGAAGGCAGCUUACUAAACUAUAACUGACACUGAAGCACGAAAGCGUGGGGAUCAAACAGG